RNAcentral lists this ribosomal RNA (396 nucleotides) under uncultured bacterium. RNAcentral's name for it is "partial 16S ribosomal RNA". It matches the Rfam family "Bacterial small subunit ribosomal RNA", at positions 523 to 918 of the family's 1533-position model. The record is from RNAcentral.
AUACGUAGGUGGCAAGCGUUGUCCGGAUUUACUGGGUGUAAAGGGCGCGUAGGCGGGAUAGCAAGUCAGGAGUGAAAUGUAGGGGCUCAACCCCUAAACUGCUUUUGAAACUGUUAUUCUUGAGUAUCGGAGAGGCAGGCGGAAUUCCUAGUGUAGCGGUGAAAUGCGUAGAUAUUAGGAGGAACACCAGUGGCGAAGGCGGCCUUCUGGACGACAACUGACGCUGAGGCGCGAAAUCGUGGGGAGCAAACAGGAUUAGAUACCCUUGUAGUCCGCGCUGUAAACGUUGAAUACUAGGUGUGGGGGGACUGACCCCCUCCGUGCCGGAGUUAACACAAUAAGUAUUCCACCUGGGGAGUACGGCCGCAAGGUUGAAACUCAAAUGAAUUGACGGGG